This 1467-nucleotide ribosomal RNA is filed under the name Synechococcus sp. 1tu21s05. RNAcentral's name for it is "bacterial SSU rRNA". It matches the Rfam family "Bacterial small subunit ribosomal RNA". Lineage: Bacteria; Bacillati; Cyanobacteriota; Cyanophyceae; Synechococcales; Synechococcaceae. The record is from RNAcentral.
GAUGAACGCUGGCGGCGUGCUUAACACAUGCAAGUCGAACGAGCCUUCGGGCUAGUGGCGGACGGGUGAGUAACGCGUGGGAAUCUGCCCUCAGGAGGGGGAUAACGGCCGGAAACGGCCGCUAAUACCCCAUAUGCCGAGAGGUGAAAUGAAUUUCGCCUGAGGAUGAGCCCGCGUCUGAUUAGCUAGUUGGUGGGGUAAUGGCCCACCAAGGCGACGAUCAGUAGCUGGUCUGAGAGGAUGAUCAGCCACACUGGGACUGAGACACGGCCCAGACUCCUACGGGAGGCAGCAGUGGGGAAUUUUCCGCAAUGGGCGAAAGCCUGACGGAGCAACGCCGCGUGAGGGAUGAAGGCCUCUGGGCUGUAAACCUCUUUUCUCAAGGAAGAAGACAUGACGGUACUUGAGGAAUAAGCCACGGCUAAUUCCGUGCCAGCAGCCGCGGUAAUACGGGAGUGGCAAGCGUUAUCCGGAAUUAUUGGGCGUAAAGCGUCCGCAGGCGGCCUUGUAAGUCUGUCGUUAAAGCGUGGAGCUUAACUCCAUUUCAGCGAUGGAAACUACAAGGCUUGAGUGUGGUAGGGGCAGAGGGAAUUCCCGGUGUAGCGGUGAAAUGCGUAGAUAUCGGGAAGAACACCAGUGGCGAAGGCGCUCUGCUGGGCCAUAACUGACGCUCAUGGACGAAAGCCAGGGGAGCGAAAGGGAUUAGAUACCCCUGUAGUCCUGGCCGUAAACGAUGAACACUAGGUGUCGGGGGAAUCGACCCCCUCGGUGUCGUAGCUAACGCGUUAAGUGUUCCGCCUGGGGAGUACGCACGCAAGUGUGAAACUCAAAGGAAUUGACGGGGGCCCGCACAAGCGGUGGAGUAUGUGGUUUAAUUCGAUGCAACGCGAAGAACCUUACCAGGGUUUGACAUCCUGCGAAUCCCUUGGAAACGAGGGAGUGCCUUCGGGAGCGCAGAGACAGGUGGUGCAUGGCUGUCGUCAGCUCGUGUCGUGAGAUGUUGGGUUAAGUCCCGCAACGAGCGCAACCCACGUCUUUAGUUGCCAGCAUUCAGUUGGGCACUCUAGAGAGACCGCCGGUGAUAAACCGGAGGAAGGUGUGGAUGACGUCAAGUCAUCAUGCCCCUUACAUCCUGGGCUACACACGUACUACAAUGCUACGGACAAAGGGUUGCAAGCUCGCGAGAGUUAGCUAAUCCCAUAAACCGUGGCUCAGUUCAGAUCGUAGGCUGCAACUCGCCUACGUGAAGGAGGAAUCGCUAGUAAUCGCAGGUCAGCAUACUGCGGUGAAUACGUUCCCGGGCCUUGUACACACCGCCCGUCACACCAUGGAAGUUGGCCAUGCCCGAAGUCGUUACUCCAACCCUUGUGGAGGAGGACGCCGAAGGUGGGGCUGAUGACUGGGGUGAAGUCGUAACAAGGUAGCCGUACCGGAAGGUGCGGCUGGAUCACCUCCUAACAGGGAGAC